CCCCCCCAUUCAGUUUCUCAGCAAUUUACAAAACAGCUCUUUAUUUUCUGUUUAAAUUAUUGUGUUAUCAUUCGAGGGUUUUAACGUUGAUUCUAUAUGGUUAUAGUUUCUGUGACAAUUUCUAGUUACAGGAACAGACUUUUUAGAAAGUCUGUGGUUCCUCAACAGACUCUUAAGACAAGAUCCCGUGUCCACUACGUCUGUUGAAAAUCCUUUAACUGUGUAGAUGCUUUUUGUUUACUUAAAUUUAAAGAGAUUCGUUAAGCAGGAUUUAUUUUUGACCAAAUCAUGUUAUUAUGUUGUUUUAUUUACAAAAUUAUUCACCUGUAAAUGGUAAAUGAUUCCCUGUGUUAAUAGUCUCGUCAGGUGUUUACAGAUGUGUAAAACAUGAUUGACUAGUCUGUAGUUUUCUGCUGUAGUUUGUAGUUUCGAUUUUUUACUAAAUUCUAUCCACACAACUUUAAUUCACAAAGAAAUGCAAGAAAAAAUUAUAUAAGGUCCUAC
Molecule: non-coding RNA, 504 nt
Organism: Procambarus clarkii (red swamp crayfish)
Lineage: Eukaryota; Metazoa; Arthropoda; Malacostraca; Decapoda; Cambaridae
Source: RefSeq, a predicted model, not a curated record